UGGAGAUGGCGCACGGGUGCGUAACGCGUGAGCAACCUGCCUCCAUCAGGGGGAUAGCCUCUCGAAAGAGAGAUUAACACCGCAUAAUUAAUGUUCCGGCGUCGGUCUAUUAUUAAAUAUUUAUAGGACGGAGAUGGGCUCGCGUGGCACUAGCUAGUUGGUGGGAUAACGGCCCACCAAGGCGACUAUGUCUAGGGGCUCUGAGAGGAGAACCCCCCACACUGGUACUGAGACACGGUCAAGACUCAUACGGGAGGCAGAAGUAAGGAAUAUUGGUCAAUGGGCGGAAGCCUGAACCGGCCAUGCCGCGUGCAGGAUGACUGCCCUAUGGGUUGUGAACUGCUUUUGGCCGGGAAUAAACCUCCGUACGAGUACGGAGGUGAGUGUGCCGGAGGAAUAAGGAUCGGCUAACUCCGUGGCAGAAGCCGCGGUAAUACGGAGGAUCCGAGCGUUAUCCGGAUUUAUUGGGUUUAAAGGGUGCGUAGGCGGCCUGUUAAGUCAGGGGUGAAAUACCGGUGGCUAAACCAUCGCAGUGCCUUUGAUACUGACGGGCUUGAAUCCAUAUGAAGUGGGCGGAAUAAGACAAGUAGCGGUGAAAUGCAUAGAUAUGUCUUAGAACUCCGAUUGCGAAGGCAGCUCACUAAGCUGGUAUUGACGCUGAUGCACGAAAGCGUGGGGAUCGAACAGGAUUAGAUACCCUGGUAGUCCACGCCCUAAACGAUGAUAACUCGAUGUUGGCGAUAGACAGCCAGCGUCCCAGCGAAAGCGUUAAGUUAUCCACCUGGGGAGUACGCCCGCAAGGGUGAAACUCAAAGGAAUUGACGGGGGCCCGCACAAGCGGAAGAACAUGUGGUUUAAUUCGAUGAUACGCGAGGAACCUUACCCGGGCUUGAAAGUUAGUUGAAGAUGCAAGAAACGCACCCGUUCCUUCGGGACACGAAACUAGGUGCUGCAUGGCUGUCGUCAGCUCUUGCCGUGAGGUGUUGGGUUAGUCCCGCACCAACGCAACCCCUAUUUUUAUUUCCAGCAUGUUAUGGUGGGGACUCUAACCAAACUGCCUGUCCAACAUUUGAGAAAGUGGGGACAACGUCAAUCAUCAUG
Molecule: ribosomal RNA, 1101 nt
Filed under: Sphingobacterium thalpophilum
Lineage: Bacteria; Pseudomonadati; Bacteroidota; Sphingobacteriia; Sphingobacteriales; Sphingobacteriaceae
Description: bacterial SSU rRNA
Rfam family: Bacterial small subunit ribosomal RNA
Source: RNAcentral